Molecule: long non-coding RNA, 1449 nt
Organism: Carassius gibelio (silver crucian carp)
Lineage: Eukaryota; Metazoa; Chordata; Actinopteri; Cypriniformes; Cyprinidae
Exons: 6
Source: RefSeq, a predicted model, not a curated record
CCACCCAGCACCAGACGUCAUUUGGACGUCGUUUUCUGGUCUAAAUCAAGUCGGCCCGUCAUGGCCAUCUUUUAGACCAAAAAGCGACGUUGAAAAUUGGUCUUCAUUUGGUCCGUCGGAUUUGGUCCAAAUUAAGCCCAAAAAGCGACGUUGAAAAUUGGUCUUCGUUUGGUCCGUCGGAUUUGGUCCAAAUUAAGCCCAAAAAGCGACAUUUAACGUCUUUUUUUUUUUUUAAUUUAGCCCAAAAAUAGAUGUAAAUGGGCUUUAGUCCAAAUUUAGCAGAAAAAAAACUUUUAUUUCGCACCACAAAGCCAUUAACAUAAACUAGUGAAGAAAUUAGACAUCAUGUCUGAUCGCACUGUUAAAUAUAUUUAAAUAUAUUUUGAAAACACUUGAUGGUCACGCGCUGUACUGGAGUCACCAUGGAAACGGGGCCCAGCUCAACCGUCAAGCAGCUGAACAGACGCUGUCUCUCAUGGUUGUUUUCACUAAUUUCAGUUUAUAGAAAUGGUCAGUGUCUUCAUGAAAAGUCCGUUAGCAUCUCAACUGUAAUGCUAACUACAAGAGAUUCUUCCAUGCUGAUGGCCGUGCCUGUAUCCAGCUGAAGAACAUUUUUAGACAUUAUGAAACAUAUAACUAAGACUGAAAAUCAUUGAUAAACCACAAGCUCCAACCCCAGUUAAGCAGACCUGAGCAGCUGAUCAAGGAUCAGCAGAAACUCUGCAGAACGGUGGUCCUCCAGCCCAGGACUGGACACCAGUGUUAUGCUGCAGAAAAAAGAGCGAGGCUAAAGCAUUCAAAGUGGAAACAUCUGCCGUGGCUCAUUAAUCCAGAAUUGGGAUGGAGGAAGGAGCAGAAGAUCAGAGAUCAGGCAGAGAUCUACUGGUGCCCCUGUGGGAACCCCAUUUACCUAAUGUGUUAGUUUAACCAAAGAUUUUCCUCACUCACCUUUAUGUUGUUCCAAACCAGACUUUUGUUCAUCCUUGAAACAUAAAUGCGGAACUUUUUAAUGAAAUCUGAGAUUAUUUUCUUUAUAUAAAAUAACACAUUCACACAAGCACCAUGAUGCAUCAGUGUUGCAUUGGCGUGAGAGCUGGCGCUUUUGGUGCUUUUGUGAAAAUCCAUUGGGGAGUCAUAAUUUCUGAAUAGAUUAUUUUUGCUGUUGUAAUUGUUUGUUUGUUUUUUUUUUUGUACACAAGGCAUCUGUUAAAAAAAUAUCUUAAUUUGUGUUCUGCACAAAAGGGUGUUAUGGGUUUGGGGCAACAUGAGGGUAAGUAAUUAAUGACAGAAUUAAAAUUUUUGGUUGUUCUAAUGUGGUUAUAAUUGGUCAUAGUUUAUUUGUCUUGAAAAAAUAUAUUUAUACAGAAACAUGGAUUAAUUUGAUAAGUUUAUAGUAAAGCCUUUUAAAUUGAUAAAAAAAAAAAAAAUCUAAAUAAAUACUACUCUUUU